GACAGAGGGGGCGAGCGUUUUCCGGAGUCACUGGGCGUAAAGCGCACGCAGGCGGAUCGAUAAGUCGGGGGUGAAAGCCCGGGGCUCAACCUCGGAAUUGCCUUCGAUACUGUCGGUCUCGAGUCCGGGAGAGGUGAGUGGAAUUCCUAGUGUAGAGGUGAAAUUCGUAGAUAUUAGGAAGAACACCAGUGGCGAAGGCGGCUCACUGGCCCGGUACUGACGCUCAGGUGCGAAAGCGUGGGGAGCAAACAGG
This 253-nucleotide ribosomal RNA is filed under the name uncultured bacterium. Its description in RNAcentral is "partial 16S ribosomal RNA". It matches the Rfam family "Bacterial small subunit ribosomal RNA", at positions 524 to 776 of the family's 1533-position model. The record is from RNAcentral.